AUGUGUGGCCAUACCACCAGGAAUGCACCCAAUGUCAUCUGAUUUUGGUAGGUGGGCAGGCAGGGUCUAGACUGGUUAGUACUUGGAUAGGAGACUGCUUGGGAAUACUAUGUGCUAUAUUUG
RNAcentral lists this ribosomal RNA (123 nucleotides) under Procavia capensis (Cape rock hyrax). Lineage: Eukaryota; Metazoa; Chordata; Mammalia; Hyracoidea; Procaviidae. The record is from RNAcentral.